AUUGAACGCUGGCGGCAUGCCUUACACAUGCAAGUCGAACGGCAGCGCGGGGCAACCUGGCGGCGAGUGGCGAACGGGUGAGUAAUAUAUCGGAACGUACCCUGGAGUGGGGGAUAACGUAGCGAAAGUUACGCUAAUACCGCAUACGAUCUAAGGAUGAAAGUGGGGGAUCGCAAGACCUCAUGCUCCUGGAGCGGCCGAUAUCUGAUUAGCUAGUUGGUGGGGUAAAGGCCUACCAAGGCAUCGAUCAGUAGCUGGUCUGAGAGGACGACCAGCCACACUGGAACUGAGACACGGUCCAGACUCCUACGGGAGGCAGCAGUGGGGAAUUUUGGACAAUGGGCGAAAGCCUGAUCCAGCAAUGCCGCGUGAGUGAAGAAGGCCUUCGGGUUGUAAAGCUCUUUUGUCAGGGAAGAAA
This 418-nucleotide ribosomal RNA is filed under the name beta proteobacterium MB13. RNAcentral describes it as "bacterial SSU rRNA". It matches the Rfam family "Bacterial small subunit ribosomal RNA", at positions 30 to 450 of the family's 1533-position model. Lineage: Bacteria; Pseudomonadati; Pseudomonadota; Betaproteobacteria. The record is from RNAcentral.